AUAUUUUGUUGUAUAUUAGGUGUCAUAAAUUAUUCUUUGAUUCUUAACAUAUUCAUCCCUUCUGGUGAUUUGUUAUUUUUUUAGUCACUAAUCGCCUAAUUUAUGAUUAUUCCAUGCUUAUUACUAUAAUGAAAAAUCCAAUUCACAAACUAUGCAUCGUUAAAAUUUGCAUUUUAAUAAUAGGUCUUCAGGUUUACUGCUAGGAAUAAGUUGGACCAAAACCUAUCUCAUCGAAGGUAGUGAAGCAUGAGAUGUAGAGGAAGAGGGUAACUGGAAGACAAAAAUGAAGCAAAGAUUUCAUUACUCUGAAGUUCUUACAUCAUUGCUGUAGAUAGAAGUCAUUACAAGUCAAGGUGGUUGCAGAAAGGUAAACACAUUGAGUUUGGUGCGAAGCUCUUUAAAUCGAGUUGAUGGUGGUGACGUGUGAAUGAAUUCGGAUGUUGGUCAACGACAUACACAUGAAGGACAACUACAGAUUUAGACAAUCCCUAUUUCUAGACAAAAUGAAUGUCCAAUUCUAUGUGCUUUGUACAAGCAUGCAAAACUGGAUCAUAAGAAAGUAGAGCGACAUUGAGGUUAUCACAUAACAACAUAGAAGUGUGAAAAGGAACAUGUAGUUCAUUCAUGACAAAUUGUAGCCAUAGAAAUUUAGCUGUGUGUGCGCCACAUUGUCGUAGCAUGCAGCCGAUACUUGUUUCUUAGAACACUCCAAGAUACAAGAUUUGGUUCAAAUAAGAUACAUGAGUUUUCCUCUUCCUUUAA
Long non-coding RNA from Medicago truncatula (barrel medic), 762 nucleotides. RefSeq lists it as uncharacterized. The record is from RefSeq and is a predicted model, not a curated record. The transcript is spliced from 2 exons. NCBI's taxonomy places the organism in Eukaryota, Viridiplantae, Streptophyta, Magnoliopsida, Fabales, Fabaceae.